This 71-nucleotide transfer RNA is filed under the name Marmota monax (woodchuck). It matches the Rfam family "tRNA". From Rfam's summary of the family: Transfer RNA (tRNA) molecules are approximately 80 nucleotides in length. Their secondary structure includes four short double-helical elements and three loops (D, anti-codon, and T loops). The record is from Rfam by way of RNAcentral. Lineage: Eukaryota; Metazoa; Chordata; Mammalia; Rodentia; Sciuridae.
UGAGGGUGGCUCAGUGGUAGAGUGCUUGCCUAGCAUGCAUGAAGCCCUAGGUUCGAUCCCCAGCACUGCAA